GACGAACGCUGGCGGCGUGCUUAACACAUGCAAGUCGAACGGAAAGGCCCUGCUUUUGUGGGGUGCUCGAGUGGCGAACGGGUGAGUAACACGUGAGUAACCUGCCCUUGACUUUGGGAUAACUUCAGGAAACUGGGGCUAAUACCGGAUCGGAGCUCCUGCUGCAUGGUGGGGGUUGGAACGUUUCGGCGGUUGGGGAUGGACGCGCGGCUUAUCAGCUUGUUGGUGGGGUAGUGGCUUACCAAGGCUUUGACGGAUAGCCGGCCGGAGAGGGUGACCGGGCACAAGGGGACUGAGAGACGGACCAGAGUGAUACGGGAGGCAGCAGGGGGGAAUAUGGCACAAUGGGCGGAAGCCUGAUGCAGCAACGCCGCGGGCGGGAUGACGGCCUUCGGGUUGUAAACCGCUUUCGGCUGUGACGAAGCGUGAGUGACGGUAAUGGGUAAAGAAGCACCGGCUAACUACGUG
RNAcentral lists this ribosomal RNA (468 nucleotides) under uncultured bacterium. Its description in RNAcentral is "partial 16S ribosomal RNA". It matches the Rfam family "Bacterial small subunit ribosomal RNA", at positions 28 to 507 of the family's 1533-position model. The record is from RNAcentral.